This 437-nucleotide long non-coding RNA is filed under the name Homo sapiens (human). Its description in RNAcentral is "novel transcript". The record is from RNAcentral. Lineage: Eukaryota; Metazoa; Chordata; Mammalia; Primates; Hominidae.
AAAGAAAGCCGGGGCCAGAAAGAAACUCAGACAUCAUCUGGCUUACAUUUUAAUCUUGCAACUGAGAAAAGGUAGACUCUCAGCAGCUCCUGGCAAUAAACAACUCAGGCGCAACGGGAUGUUUCUUACAAGGAGCAGCCGUGCAGUGAUUGCUCCACUCUGAGGGUCUGACUCAGCCCUUCCUCAGCUUCUGGGCUUAUUUUAGCCCCACGUUUCUGGAGGAGGAAACGAGAACAUGAUCAAGGAUGCCGUGGGAAGAGCCUGGGGCCCUCCAGUUCUCUCGGGGAGCCUCGGGAAGCUCCUCGCAGUUUCAGCUACUGUAGAAAUUCACAGCCAAGGGCUCCUACAGAAUUGGGCUGUCAGCCUGGCCAGCCUGGGCGGGUGGGCCCCGCUGUAAGAAAGCCUGCCAUUUGGAAAUGAGAAUUAGAGCAAAAGGA